Non-coding RNA from Salvelinus sp. IW2-2015, 1146 nucleotides. NCBI's taxonomy places the organism in Eukaryota, Metazoa, Chordata, Actinopteri, Salmoniformes, Salmonidae. The record is from RefSeq and is a predicted model, not a curated record.
GAGGAUGGGGAGGAUGGAGAGGAGGGAGAGGAUGGGGAGGAUGGAGAGAAAGGCGAGGUUGCUUGGAAAGGAGUCUUCAUCGCUGUGUCCUAAUGAACCAUUAGGGAGAAUGAGGUCAACCAAAUCGAUCUGACCUCCCUCCAGCGGUGUGCUGACACUGUGGAUGCAUCACAGAGAUCCUCCUAACUUACUGUUUACCAGCGAGGGCAAGGGAAGACCUGAAGCUGAACGGUGACGGUGAUAGUAUGCUAUCGAAAUAUAUGUUCAGUGAACAUACCUUUUUAAAAGUGCAGACUUUUUUUAUUUUUUAAUGAACAAACGGUCCACCAGUUACAUAACUAACCACCGUCCAAAACGACCCCCGACUCAUCCCAGUUAACCUCUCACAAUCCUUAUAAUCUCCUUUCAUGCAGUCCAUGCUUUAAGGCAAAAUGAAAGAUCGUAGAAAGAACAUUGAAAGAUCGUAGAAUCGUAGAAAGAACAUUGAUUCAAAUGGGCGAUCUAAUGAGGCCACUUGCUCUGAGUAUUUUGCCAAACCAGAAGUCAAAUAGGUUAUAUGUGUAACCUGUACAGUGUGUGGAGUGAAAAGGAAAUGUGAUUUUUGUGUAUCCUACUCCCCCUGAGACCCUCUCGGAGAGUGGGGUCACAGCCAGGGCCUGCCAUUAUUGAUGGGGACCCUGGAGCAAUUAAGUUGCAAGUUUUUAAUGUACACAAGUACAAAUGUACACAUACACAAGUACAGUGAAAUGUCUUUCUUGCGAACUCUAAACCCAACAAUGUAGUAAUCAAUAUUACAGCUACUGGCCCAACGCUCUAACUACUAGUCUACCUGGCAUCACAACGAGACCAAGUGUGUAUAACUCGAUUAUUAUAAAUCCCUUUCGGGUGAGAUCCUAAUCUCACGCUUCAGUUUCUCAACCUUGACAGAAUACAGACAAGAGGUUCCCUGUAGUGUUCAAUACAACGUCACACAACAGGUUCCCUGUAGUGUUCAACACAACGUCAGACAACAGGUUCCCUGUAGUGUUCAAUACAACGUCAGACAACAGGUUCCCUGUAGUGUUCAACACAACGUCAGACAAGAGGUUCCCUGUAGUGUUCAACACAACGUCAGACAAGAGGUUCCUGUAGUGUUCAACACAACGU